CGCCGCUGCAGAGUUUGAUCCUGGCUCAGGAUAAACGCUGGCGGCGCACAUAAGACAUGCAAGUCGAACGGAAGUCGUUAUACUGAUUUUGAUAUGAACGUUGAACUUGUUCAGUGUGACUUGAUGAAGAUUUAUAACAAUGGCUUUAGUGGCGGACUGGUGAGUAAUACGUAAGCAACCUGCCUAUUAGAGGGGAACAACAGUUAGAAAUGACUGCUAAUACCGCAUAUGCCAUAAUAGAGACAUCUCUAUAGUGGGAAAGGAGUAAUCCGCUGAUAGAUGGGCUUACGGCUGAUUAGCUAGUUGGUGUGGUAACGGCAUACCAAGGCGACGAUCAGUAGCCGGAUUGAGAGAUUGAACGGCCACAUUGGGACUGAGAUACGGCCCAGACUCCUACGGGAGGCAGCAGUCGGGAAUAUUGCGCAAUGGAGGAAACUCUGACGCAGUGACGCCGCGUGCAGGAAGAAGGUUUUCGGAUUGUAAACUGCUUUAGACAGGGAAGAAGAAUGACAGUACCUGUAGAAUAAGCUCCGGCUAACUACGUGCCAGCAGCCGCGGUAAUACGUAGGGAGCAAGCGUUAUCCGGAAUUAUUGGGUGUAAAGAGUGCGUAGACGGGAAGUUAAGUUGGUCUGUGAAAUCCCUCGGCUCAACUGAGGAACUGCAACCAAAACUGAUUUUCUUGAGUGCUGGAGAGGAAAGUGGAAUUCCUAGUGUAGCGGUGAAAUGCGUAGAUAUUASGAGGAACACCAGUGGGCGAAGGCGACUUUCUGGACAGUAACUGACGUUGAGGCACGAAAGCGUGGGGAGCAAACAGGAUUAGAUACCCUGGUAGUCCACGCUGUAAAACGAUGGAUACUAGGUGUAGGGGAUGAUAAAUCCUCUGUGCCGUCGCAAACGCAGUAAGUAUCCCACCUGGGGAGUACGACCGCAAGGUUGAAACUCAAAGGAAUUGACGGGGGCCCGCACAAGCAGUGGAGUAUGUGGUUUAAUUCGACGCAACGCGAAGAACCUUACCAGGGCUUGACAUAUACCGGAAUAUAUUAGAGAUAGUAUAGUCCUUCGGGACUGGUAUACAGGUGGUGCAUGGUUGUCGUCAGCUCGUGUCGUGAGAUGUUGGGUUAAGUCCCGCAACGAGCGCAACCCUUGUUCUUAGUUACCAGCACGUAAUGGUGGGGACUCUAGGAAGACUGCCGGUGACAAAUCGGAGGAAGGUGGGGACGACGUCAAAUCAUCAUGCCCUUUAUGUCCUGGGCUACACACGUACUACAAUGGCUAUUACAGAGUGAAGCGAAGCAGUGAUGUGGAGCAAAACACAAAAAAGUAGUCUCAGUUCGGAUUGAAGGCUGAAAUUCGCCUUCAUGAAGCCGGAAUUGCUAGUAAUGGCAGGUCAGCAUACUGCCGUGAAUACGUUCCCGGGCCUUGUACACACCGCCCGUCACACCAUGAGAGUUGGGAAUACCCGAAGCCUGUGAGCUAACUUUUCAAGAGGCAGCAGUCGAAGGUAGAACCAAUGAUUGGGGUGAAGUCGUAACAAGGUAACCCGGGCGGCCGCUC
Molecule: ribosomal RNA, 1555 nt
Filed under: uncultured bacterium
Lineage: Bacteria
Description: bacterial SSU rRNA
Rfam family: Bacterial small subunit ribosomal RNA
Source: RNAcentral